Molecule: non-coding RNA, 231 nt
Organism: Vicia faba (fava bean)
Lineage: Eukaryota; Viridiplantae; Streptophyta; Magnoliopsida; Fabales; Fabaceae
Source: the annotation of a GenBank genome assembly
AUGAGCUGGUAUAAACUUCUUGCGCAAGCUUUUAAUUCUUUUCCAAAAUUCUGUUUUGCAAUUUUCCUAACUGCUUUUGUUCCGUUAUUUGUUGAGCUGGAAGUUAAUUUUUCACGAAUUUGUACUUCUGUUGGGAAUUCUUAUUCGAAAUUAUAUUUUCAAUUUGGGGCGCGUGCAUCACUUCUACUAGAGAAUUGUGUAGGGGAUACUGGAGAGGAAUUAACAAACUAA